Molecule: ribosomal RNA, 301 nt
Filed under: uncultured bacterium
Lineage: Bacteria
Description: partial 16S ribosomal RNA
Rfam family: Bacterial small subunit ribosomal RNA
Source: RNAcentral
CAGCAGCCGCGGUAAAACGGAGGGGGCUAGCGUUGUUCGGAAUUACUGGGCGUAAAGCGCACGUAGGCGGCUUUGUAAGUUAGAGGUGAAAGCCCGGAGCUCAACUCCGGAAUUGCCUUUAAGACUGCAGAGCUAGCAGGUGAGAGAGGUGAGUGGAAUUCCGAGUGUAGAGGUGAAAUUCGUAGAUAUUCGGAAGAACACCAGUGGCGAAGGCGGCUCACUGGCUCAUACUGGACGCUGAGGUGCGAAAGCGUGGGGAGCAAACAGGAUUAGAUACCCCGGUAGUCCCUGUCUCUUAUAC